GCGCCGGUGGUGCAAGGCGUAGCAUCGUUGCCCGGAAAGCAGAUGGUGCGGGUCCGAGUCCCGCCUGGUGCA
Non-coding RNA from Heligmosomoides polygyrus, 72 nucleotides. The record is from Rfam. Lineage: Eukaryota; Metazoa; Nematoda; Chromadorea; Rhabditida; Heligmosomidae.